AAUACCAGCACCCCGAGUGGUCGGGACGAUUAUUGGGCCUAAAGCAUCCGUAGCCGGUUCUGCAAGUCUCCCGUUAAAUCCAACUGCUCAACAGGUGGGCUGCGGAGGAUACUACAGAGCUAGGAGGCAGGAGAGGCAAGCGGUACUCAGUGGGUAGGGGUAAAAUCCGUUGAUCCAUUGAAGACCACCAGUGGCGAAGGCGGCUUGCCAGAAUGCGCUCGACGGUGAGGGAUGAAAGCUGGGGGAGCAAACCGGA
RNAcentral lists this ribosomal RNA (256 nucleotides) under uncultured prokaryote. Its description in RNAcentral is "partial 16S ribosomal RNA". It matches the Rfam family "Archaeal small subunit ribosomal RNA", at positions 472 to 728 of the family's 1478-position model. The record is from RNAcentral.